This is a long non-coding RNA of Lutra lutra (Eurasian river otter), 246 nucleotides long. RefSeq lists it as uncharacterized. Lineage: Eukaryota; Metazoa; Chordata; Mammalia; Carnivora; Mustelidae. The transcript has 4 exons. The record is from RefSeq and is a predicted model, not a curated record.
GAUUCUUUAGCCCUGCCCAGAGUGAGUGGACUUUGGAAACCUAUGAGGAACCCACCAGUGAAAUCCCUUCCCAGAGUGAACUGACAUUGGAAAACUAUGAGGAUUUCACCACUGGAAUAAUGGCCCUGACUGAAUUGAAAUCAGAUGACUAUGAAGUCACCAGUAAAAUCCCUGGCCAGAGUGAAUGGACAGCCCCAUCCACCGAAGGACUCUCCGAAAUAGUGUGAGCUAUGAUGAAUACAUACA